This 492-nucleotide ribosomal RNA is filed under the name uncultured bacterium. RNAcentral describes it as "partial 16S ribosomal RNA". It matches the Rfam family "Bacterial small subunit ribosomal RNA", at positions 29 to 507 of the family's 1533-position model. The record is from RNAcentral.
AGUGAACGCUGGCGGUAGGCCUAACACAUGCAAGUCGAACGGCAGCACAGUAAUAGCUUGCUCUUACGGGUGGCGAGUGGCGGACGGGUGAGGAAUACAUCGUAAUCUACUUUUUCGUGUGGGUUAACGUAGGGAAACUUACGCUAAUACCGCAUACGACCUACGGUUGAAAGCAGGGGAUCUUCGGACCUUGCGCGAUUGAAUUAGCCGAUGUCGGAUUAGCUAGUUGGCGGGGUAAAGGCCCACCAAGGCGACGAUCCGUAGCUGGUCUGAGAGGAUGAUCAGCCACACUGGAACUGAGACACGGACAAGACGACUACGAGAGGCAGCAGUGGGGAAUAUUGGACAAUGGGGGCAAGCCUGAUACAGCCAUACCGCGUGGGUGAAGAAGGCCUUCGGGUUGUAAAGACCUUUUGUUGGGAAAGAAAAGCAGCAGGUUAAGACCCCGCUGUUCUGACGGUAACCAAAGAAUAAGCACCGGCUAACUUCGUG